CUCAUUUCCUGACCUUGUGAUCCGCCUGCCUCAGCCUCCUAAAUAGCUGGGAUUACAGGCAUGCACCAACACGCCCAGCUGAUUUUUGUAUUUUUAGUAGAGACAGGGUUUCACUAUGUUGGUCAGGCUGAUCUCAAACUCCUGACCUCAGGUGAUCCGCCUGCCUCAGCCUCCCAAAGUGCUGGGAUUACAGGGAUUACAGGCAUGAGCCACCAUACCCAGCCCAAUGUUUUUAAGUUUUUAAAGUUAUUUCUCCUGGGAGUCAUGGCUCACACCUGUAAUCCUAGCACUUUGGGAGGCCGAGGCGGGCGGAUAACGAGAUUAAGACCAUCCUGGCCAACAUGGUGAAACCCCAUCUCAACUAAAAAUACAAAAAUUGGUUGGGCGUGGUGGCGCAUGCCUGUAGUCCCAGCUACUCGGGAGGCUGAGGCAGGAGAAUCGCUUGAACCAGGGAGGCGGAGGUUGCAGUGAGAUGAGA
Molecule: long non-coding RNA, 478 nt
Filed under: Homo sapiens (human)
Lineage: Eukaryota; Metazoa; Chordata; Mammalia; Primates; Hominidae
Description: HSALNT0295056
Source: RNAcentral